This 117-nucleotide ribosomal RNA is filed under the name Fusobacterium polymorphum. The record is from RNAcentral. Lineage: Bacteria; Fusobacteriati; Fusobacteriota; Fusobacteriia; Fusobacteriales; Fusobacteriaceae.
CUUGGUGAGUAUAGCUAUGGGGGUACACCUAGUUACAUUCCGAACCUAGAAGUUAAGCCCAUAUAUGCUGAUGGUACUUGGCUGGAAGCGGCCUGGGAGAGUAUGGAUUUGCCAAGC